Molecule: long non-coding RNA, 1320 nt
Filed under: Apteryx haastii (Great spotted kiwi)
Lineage: Eukaryota; Metazoa; Chordata; Aves; Apterygiformes; Apterygidae
Description: lncRNA (ENSAHAG00000005083.1)
Source: RNAcentral
AUGGAUGUGUGGUCCGGGACGGGGGGCCCCGAGGGGGAGCCGACACGCUCGUUUAGGCASCAGCAGAAGGCGGCAAGGGAAGAGCCUUCCCCAGGCCGGAUAACCUUGGGAGGGCUGGGAGCCUCCUUGAAACCCCUCCGGCCGCGGGCGGGUGGGCGCUCGCCCGGCUCCGCUCCCGGCUGGCUGCGGGCGAGGGAGGCGCAGGAGGUGCGGACGCCUGCUGCCGCUUCCAACGAGCCCAAAGGUCGAAAAAGUGGCGUGAAAAGCGAGCCCGGGUCUCGGCUCGCAGCCGGACGGGAUAACGGGGGGUUGAUUAAGCAGGCUGUGCUUGGAAGGAGUAAUGGGGCAUUUCCCUCUGGGAUUGGUGGAGCUGCUUGGAAGGGACCACGGCCGCGCGCGGCAGCCGCCGGGGCAGAGGGGGCUUUGAAGCGUCGCUCAGCCGGGCCGGUGCCGUUUGCUUGCCGUGUGCCGGCCCCACUGCAGCUCCCGGCCUCCUUCGGGGCUCUUCCCGCGCGGCCGCACGCCCCCGAGCCCCACAGCGAGCCAGGAUCUGCCUGGGACCUCGCGGCCGCGGUGGCGGCUGGCGUCUCCCCUGCGGGGCUGCGGCGGGAGCGCGAGGGGCUCCUCGGAGCGGGCAUCUGCUCCGGCUCGGGAGCGGAGCGCCCAGCCGCGGGGAGCGGCAGAUUAAUCAGCAGGAGAAAAUAUUCCAGUCGCUCGCAGAAAAGGAGGAGAAGGAAUUCCUGUCCGUGUUGCAGCAGAACAAGGCUCCCGCGCCGCCUGCGUGCGUUUCACGGGCAGCUGCAUUCAAACGUUAACCAAACCCCGCGUCCGCCACGCCGGAGGAGGCGCGUGCACGUGUCUGUCCGUCUAUCCGGCUCGCCGGCAAUGCGGCUGCGGGAGAGCUUUGCCGUGGGGCCCUUGCGUUGCUUUCCUCGGACGUGUCGGAGCCUGGGAGCCCCUUGCGGGCUGCGACCGUCCCUUUGCAGCCCCGGCGYGGCGGCGAGGAAGCGAACCUUGCCGUUCCCACUGCUGCCGUUUGGAAAAGGAGCCAGCAAGGAAAAGAGCGUGAUAUUUUGUUUCAUUUAUUUAUUUAUUUAUUUUAAACUCACAGGAAGCACUUGUGCAUUGAGGAGCGAGAAAAUAAAUAAGGCAGCAGGAAGGCUGCUCCCGCGUGGGACGGGACGGGACGGGAUGGGACGCGCUCGGCGCCUGCGGCAUUCCUGGCAGUCCCUGCUCCGCCGUGUCCCGGCUUGGCGGGGGCUCCGGGUCCCGCGGGCACCUGGCGGUGCCCUGCACUGGCCGGAGCUGCGGAGCUGCUGA